RNAcentral lists this long non-coding RNA (286 nucleotides) under Homo sapiens (human). RNAcentral's name for it is "non-protein coding lnc-PARM1-2:1". Lineage: Eukaryota; Metazoa; Chordata; Mammalia; Primates; Hominidae. The record is from RNAcentral.
UUGGCAGAACAAACAUUUGAAAGUUUAUUUCUCUCUUUGACCGAGUAUUUGUUGAAAGAACUGCAGCUGAAACUGUAGCCAAAGGAGGCAUGAUGCUUCCAGAACAAAUGUCAAAGAAAAGUAUUACAUGCAUCAGUAGUAGCUGUUAGAUUGGUCUCUAAAAGAAAGGGUGGAGAGAUUCAACCAGUUAGCAUCCAAGUUGGAGAUAAAGUUAUUUUCCCAGAAUAUGGAAGCACCAAAGUGCUUUUUAGAGAUGGUGACUUUCUUGGAAAGUAUGCAGACUGAA